CCUGAUCCAGCCAUUCCGCGUGAGUGAAGAAGGCCUUCGGGUUGUAAAGCUCUUUCGCAAGGGAAGAAAACUUAUGAUCGAAUAAAUCAUGAGGUUGACGGUACCUUGAUAAGAAGCACCGGCUAACUACGUGCCAGCAGCCGCGGUAAUACGUAGGGUGCGAGCGUUAAUCGGAAUUACUGGGCGUAAAGCGUGCGCAGGCGGUUUUGUAAGUCGGAUGUGAAAUCCCCGGGCUCAACCUGGGAACUGCGUUCGAAACUGCAAGGCUAGAGUGUGUCAGAGGGGGGUAGAAUUCCACGUGUAGCAGUGAAAUGCGUAGAGAUGUGGAGGAAUACCAAUGGCGAAGGCAGCCCCCUGGGAUAACACUGACGCUCAUGCACGAAAGCGUGGGGAGCAAACAGGAUUAGAUACCCUGGUAGUCCACGCCCUAAACGAUGUCAACUAGUUGUUGGUAGAGUAAAAUCUAUGAUGUAACGUANCUAACGCGUGAAGUUGACCGC
RNAcentral lists this ribosomal RNA (500 nucleotides) under uncultured beta proteobacterium. RNAcentral's name for it is "bacterial SSU rRNA". It matches the Rfam family "Bacterial small subunit ribosomal RNA", at positions 382 to 872 of the family's 1533-position model. Lineage: Bacteria; Pseudomonadati; Pseudomonadota; Betaproteobacteria. The record is from RNAcentral.